Molecule: ribosomal RNA, 253 nt
Filed under: uncultured bacterium
Lineage: Bacteria
Description: partial 16S ribosomal RNA
Rfam family: Bacterial small subunit ribosomal RNA
Source: RNAcentral
UACGUAGGGCGCAAGCGUUGUCCGGAAUUAUUGGGCGUAAAGAGCUCGUAGGUGGCUUGUCGCGUCUGCCGUGAAAUCCCGUGGCUUAACUGCGGGUCUGCGGUGGAUACGGGCAGGCUAGAGGCUGGUAGGGGCAAGCGGAAUUCCUGGUGUAGCGGUGAAAUGCGCAGAUAUCAGGAGGAACACCGAUGGCGAAGGCAGGUCUCUGGGCAUUAACUGACGCUGAGGAGCGAAAGCAUGGGGAGCGAACAGG